RNAcentral lists this ribosomal RNA (641 nucleotides) under uncultured bacterium. Its description in RNAcentral is "bacterial SSU rRNA". The stretch from base 1 to 544 matches the Rfam family "Bacterial small subunit ribosomal RNA", at positions 338 to 873 of the family's 1533-position model. The record is from RNAcentral.
CCUACGGGAGGCAGCAGUAGGGAAUCUUCCACAAUGGGCGAAAGCCUGAUGGAGCAACGCCGCGUGAGUGAUGAAGGCCUUCGGGUUGCAAAACUCUGUCAUUCGGGACGAACCGGAGUCUGAGGAAAUGCAGACUCUCUGACGGUACCGGAGGAGGAAGCCCCGGCUAACUACGUGCCAGCAGCCGCGGUAAUACGUAGGGGGCAAGCGUUGUCCGGAUUCACUGGGCGUAAAGCGCGCGCAGGCGGUGAUGUAAGUCUGAGGUGAAAACCCGAAGCUCAACUUCGGGACUGCCUUGGAUACUGCGUCACUUGAGGAUAGGAGAGGCAAGGGGAAUUCCACGUGUAGCGGUGAAAUGCGUAGAGAUGUGGAGGAACACCUGUGGCGAAGGCGCCUUGCUGGCCUAUUUCUGACGCUGAGGCGCGAAAGCGUGGGGAGCAAACAGGAUUAGAUACCCUGGUAGUCCACGCUGUAAACGAUGAGUGCUAGGUGUAGGUGGGCUCAUACCCAUCUGUGCCGAAGCUAACGCAUUAAGCNCNCCGCCGUGGGAGGUACGGUCGCGAGACGUAGAAACGUUAAAGGUAAAGUUAGACGGACGUUAGGAGACGUUGGCCGACGGACGACACGAGGGGAGGUUAGGG